This 163-nucleotide ribosomal RNA is filed under the name Papilionanthe hookeriana. RNAcentral's name for it is "5.8S ribosomal RNA". It matches the Rfam family "5.8S ribosomal RNA". Rfam says of the family: 5.8S ribosomal RNA (5.8S rRNA) is a component of the large subunit of the eukaryotic ribosome. It is transcribed by RNA polymerase I as part of the 45S precursor that also contains 18S and 28S rRNA. The record is from RNAcentral. Lineage: Eukaryota; Viridiplantae; Streptophyta; Magnoliopsida; Asparagales; Orchidaceae.
ACACGACUCUGGACAAUGGAUAUCUCAACUCUCGCAUCGAUGAAGAGCGCAGUGAAAAUGCGAUACGUGGUGUGAAUUGUAGAAUCCCGCGAACCAUCGAGUCUUUGAAUGAAUGUUGCACCCAAGGCCAAUCGGUCGAGGGCACGUCCGCCUGGGCGUCAAC